RNAcentral lists this long non-coding RNA (19174 nucleotides) under Lynx pardinus (Iberian lynx). The record is from RNAcentral. Lineage: Eukaryota; Metazoa; Chordata; Mammalia; Carnivora; Felidae.
UUUUGGUAUCCAGGGUACCUCUGAGUAGUAGAUUUUUGAUCUCUAGCCCAUCCUCAAAACUGAAAACCAAUCCUCCAUUUCUCCAGGGUUUACCUUUUCAUCACUUGAAGACCAGUGGUUACAUGAUUUGGACCCACUGAGGAAGGUUAGAAUGAUAUCAGUUCAAAAGUAUUGGAUACCUGUGGAGCACUUUGCAAGAUAUUACAGGAUUUUCUGGGCUUUCUAUAGAACUACACAGAAGUAUUGCUGAGUACUUUGCAAUAUGAAUUCUUGCAAUUUGCAGGAAUUUGUCACGCUUUUCAGGUGAUCACACUAGGUAAGUGCUUCAUUUUUAUCUCAAUUGGUUUGAUUUUGUGCUUUCAUUAUAUUAUUGCAUUUAAGUUUUACAUACUUGGGGGUUUACGUUUUUUAACCGAUCUUUAAUCCCAUCUCUUCUGAUGAGCACCUGACUCAGCCUAGCUAUAUCUUUAAUUGAUGCUCUCUUCAACUCUAUCUACAAAAUUGCAAUUCCAUGAUCUGCCUAAAGAGAUAGGCAGUUUAAUCAAUGUACAAGUUACUCUACUUAUUUUAAAUAAAUGCCUUUCAGACUUAGUAAACACCAUUAAGGGAAACAUGGAUGGUUUAAAAUAAGGUAAGUGAUUUAUGUUUCCUUAAAUGAAGUCCUUAAAUUCAUUUAACAAAAGAAAUACUUAUUUACAUGACCCUUAGAAAAUUUAUUUUUGUGUAAAACAUGCUUUUGUUUUCAGAAUUCCAUAAUUCAGCAAAAUUCCUUUAAGACAGAUUGAAAGUACACCCUUGUUGGCAGUUGUUAGAUCUUCCGGUAAAAUUCUAGGGUUCUAAAUUUAGAAGAAGGCUAAGAUAGCAACCCCCGUCUCCCCAUAAUAUUUUCUAUAACCUAAAAUUUAAUUAGCAAAAGGGAAUAGUUUGAUUAUUAUUGCACUUAACAUUUGAAAACUAAAGUUCCCUAGCUCUUUAAAUUUUAAGACAUAUAAGUGAAUGGGUGCCAAACAAUUACUGGGUUUUAUGAAUCAGUGUAAAAAUUUUAAUUAAACUUUCAGAGCUACCUAACUUGCAGCCAUAAAUGAAUGCGAGUGUUGGGAGAAUAAGGUUCAUCACACUUCAUUUCUAAGAAAUGAAGCUCCUGGGGACUCCCCCUGCUCCAUCCCAGUGAGAAGAUGAUAGCUGUCUGCUUCACUUUGUUUAUGCCCAACUCCUAAUCACUAGUUGGUACAGAGUCAGAAUUAAAACUCAAGUCUUUAGCCCAAAGAUCUUUCCACAAUUGCGCCUCUCUUGCAUGCUCUGCUUUAGCACUGAUAGAUAACUGAAAUCUAUCAAACACAAAUAUCUAGUCUAUUCAAUUUUGGAGAAGAGUAAAAACAUGACCUCUCUCCUACAAAUUGGUGAGCUUGGCUUUUCGCACUAGAGUACGAGAGUGCUUGGUUGAUCCCAAGCAAUAAAGCUUCAGGGUGUUAUAAAACAUCAUUAAUUGCCAGAGCUGCUUACCCAUGGACCGCAUUUUUCGUGGGAGUCUCACCUUCGAUAUUCUUUUCUCUUGUUCCUAUAAAUUUACUGAUACUGAUCAGAUAGUGGAUGCAAAUUUCUUAUCUCAGAAAUUCAGUUAUGUAACUAUAGGAUUCCUUUAAAUGGCAAGAAUCCUUAGUGAAUUUAAACUAUUGUUUGAUUCAGAAAAUUAUCAAUACUUAAAAAAAAAUCUCCCUCUCCAAUAGCCCCAAACUCCCACCAUUAGUCAAAAUUUGAGUUAAGUCACUGAAAAGCUCUCCUUUAAAUGUCAAUAUAAUCAUAAUAAUAAUUACCAUUUGUUGAAUGCCUACAGAGGGGCAGACUAGGUGCUUUACAUACAUUACAUCUUUAAUCCCCAAGUCUGUCAUUCAAAGUCUGCAUUAUUAUCCUUAUUCUAAAGAUCAGGAUAAGCAACUUGCCCAAGGCCACACAGCUAGUAAGUCCUAGGGCCAAGGCUUGAAUCCAGGUCUCUGUGUUUCUUUUCAUUUCUCCCUGUAAGAUGGAGUAAUGAAUGCAUAAAGCUAUGCUGAUCAAUGACACCAAGUCCACACUACUUUAAGAUAAAUUCAGGUCCUAAAAUAAUGGCCCCGGGAAACAUGCCACAAGACAGACACUUAUGGUAGAGUGUAAAGACUUGAGUUCAUUUCCUUCAUGGUUUUACUUCAAAUCCAAUGGCUUUGCUCGCUUCACUUAAUAUUUUGCAUGUUUUGGCAAGCCAGGGUAGAAUUGGCUCUUUUUGGUUACUCAGUCUAUUUCUCUUCAUUCAAAUGUAUGCUGUGAUGCGGAACCGAAGUCUAAGAAUUCCAGCGGCAUCUAGUGACAAAGAAGGAAUAGCCAAUGACCACCUGUUAGGCAGUCAAAGACAGCAGAAGGACCACAGCUGAGCCUGUAUUGGCCAUGUGUCAGCAUAUUCUCCUCCCAAGUUGUAGCGCCCUGGGGUAACCAGGACUCCACUGCUUCUGUGCAGUGAUUCAGUGUAAAGAGUAGGGUUUCCUACCAAACUUAUAUCAGGUUUCACCAACAUGAACAGAGUCCUCAUGUGCCCUCAUGUGGUAUCCCAGCAGGGGAGAGGUAUUUGUUUGAAAGCAUUUUGCAACUUGUGUCACAUGGUGGCUGGAUGGUUACUGAUGAUCAUAACCUCAGUACCUGCAGUUCCCCAGAACGGCCUCUGUAUCUUUGUACAUAUCGUUCCCCUUCUUAGAUGGUCUUCCCUUCCUGUCUUUAUGAGGCUAAUGUCUGCACACCCUUCAGGAUUUGGCUUCAAUGUUGCCUCCUCUGACCCUCAAAGCUGGAUUUAAUGAUUUCCCAUGUGUCCCCAUAGUAACCCAAUGCCUGCUGUACUGGUAGCCGUUAUCGCUAAUCUGAAAAUGGCACUUUAAAUGAUCUUUCUCUCCUAGAAGACUAAGAUCGUUGAAGGCAGGGACUCAGAGACAAUGCUGCAUCUAAUUAGCAUGGACUUUGGAAUCAGACAAAACUAGUUUUAAAUCCUGACUUCAGCAUUUACUCACCUGCCUUACUCUGGGUAAGGUUUACCUUGGAUUAAAGAACCACCCAGAGCUUUGGCUUCCACAUCUUCACGGCCGUGAUAAUAAUAAAAACUAUCUUGUUGAGUUGUUUUGAGGAUUAAUGGCAAUAACGAACAUAAGGUACUUAAGUCAGGGCUUGGUAUAUAAUACAUGUGCAAUGAAGGGGACAGAUAUUUAUUCAUUGUUAUACCACAGUUUCUACCAUACUACUUGUUUAAUCAAUAUAUUUGGAAUUUACAUUGUGUCAGAGAGCUUGAAAAACAUAGCAGUUGACUACGCCUAAUCUGAAGCUCCACUAUUGGCUCUUACAGGGGCCUCAGGUCUUUCUGUUGUCUUUUUGUGCCACUGUGAAUAGUUGAUCAUUGCUUGUUUGGUGCUAAAUCCCGCUCCCCCCCCCCCCCCCCCGCCCCCCCUCCAUUCAACAUCAGCACUUCCUGCAUUUUUGCUCAAAGUUAGCAGGAGGGAGAAAAGCAAGACAUAUAUAAGUUUUAAUUGGAGAUCAAACCCAAGGUCUAUACAGGGCCCAAAGGAUUUAUCAAUAAGCCCAUCAUUUUCACACAUGUCAACCAGACUGCAAGCUCCAAGAGACUGAGAAUUGCAAUUUUUGUUCACUAUGGCAUUGCUGGCACAUUGUAUGGGUCUGACACAUAGUUCAUACUCAAUAAAUAUUUGAAGAAUGAAGGAGUAAAUAUAUCUGAAAGGUAUGAAUCAGUUCAGUUUCUGUUAGGAACCAUUUAUCCCUGUGUUUCACCACUUUGGGCCAACUUCUGAAACAUUUUACUUACAUGUACAUAAGAAAUCCGUGGAAUGAUGCAGAGGGGACUUCUUACAGAACCUGUAUUCAUUUUACUCAACGUCUAAAAGAUUCCCUCUUGUUCUAUUAUUUUCAGGAUUUUGUGAACAUGUUUACAUUAACGAUAUUAUUCGUGAUUUGUAGGUUUUGUCCAUGUGACUCCCUGUUUUGGCCUUUCUGGGCUCAAAGGACUGAAACAUUGAGACCUUCCCAUGUAAAGCAUCCCUUUACUCAUUUCAAUCAUAGUGGUUCAAAUCUACACUUACAAGGUACAUUCAAUACUGUCAAAGCCAGGCACUAUGCAAAGUGCUGAGAAUACCAAGACCCUUCUCUGGUCCAAUCACAAUCUUCCUUGGGUUUGGGUUGUGAUUCAAAUUCCCCUCGACAUGGAGCACAUUGUAGAAUGAGGUCAUAGUUUGUUUGGGGUUUGUUCCCUUUUUUUUUUAAUAUUUAUUUAUUUUUUAGACAGAAAGACAAAGUAUGAGUGGGGGAGGGGCAGAGAGAGAGAGAGGGAGACACAGAAUCUGAACCAGACUCCAGGUUCUGAGCUGUCAGCACAGAGCCCAAUGUGGGGCUUGAAAUCACGAACCUUGAGAUCAUGACCUCAACCGAAGUCAGAUGAUUAACCGACUGAGCCACCCAGGUGCCCCUGGGGUUUUGUUCCUAAUCACCUUGCUGGAGAUGCUGCAUUUGUACUGGCUUCUUGGAUGCUUCUCUAUUGACUUCUUGUGCUGGCUUUUCUCUCCACAUGCACGAUCCACUCCAUUGUUCAAGACUUUACUCCAUCUCUAAAACCCCUACCAGGGGGGAGGCAGCAUUAUCUCAAGAGUCUCAUUGUAUUUCCACCUGUGUUAUUGUACAGAGCCUGUUGUUUGUUUGUUUUUCCUAAGUUUGCAGGAGCCCAGUUCUUGUUCUCUUUCUGCAUGGCACUAAGGAGAGCACUAGAUUUGGAGUCAAGACAUGAGUUCCAUACGUAAUUCAGCUGCAUCUUAGCUGCAUGACCUUGUACAGAGUGUUUAACCGUAUGAGUUUCUUUACCUGAAAACAAAGUUAAAACCUAUCUCACAAGUGUUCUGUGAGAAUUAAAACCUACUACAUAUGAAACCAACAUACAAUUGUACACAGAUCACAAAUAUAAAUUGUUAUUCAUUAUCAUCUGCAGUGACUUUUAGAGGAUUUCUAUAGAUAUACAGGGAUAUAUACCCUUUUAGAAGCUCAAAGAGUGGGUCCACCAGAGCAUAAAUUUCCCAAUGUCUACAUGAGAACUUCACUUAACAGAGUGGAUUUGUUUAAAGAUUAAUGAAAUUGUCUUUGUAAAAGCAAUGUCACUUUCUUGAAGGCAAGAAACUUUUUCAUGAGUUUAUAGUUAGCAGAGAAGAAAUAUUAGAGAAACAAAGGAAGAGACAGUUUUUUUUGUUUUUGUUUUUGUUUUUGUUUUUUUGUUUUUGGACUUCUCCAGCUUGUGCUGUAGCUGAACUAGGAAAGAAUAAAGAAUGUUCUCUCUCAACAAUUCGCUCCAUAAAUGUGUAAUUUAGCCAACUGUCCAAUCAACAAACAGUUAUCGGAUGUUUGUUCUGUGGGUAGCAUGAUGUUUAUCUAGAAGUAGUUUUCCAGUUGUUAAAUUUAGACUUUUGUAUUUAUUAAUGCAAAAACAUUAAAUUCUCAGUCUUUAGCCAAAAUACAGAGUAAAAUGCAGCUGUGGAUAUGGAAAAAAAUGAAUAAGACAUGAUUUCUGUCUUCAAGGCACUUAUAAUUUAGUUGGGGAGAGAGAUAAGUAAGGAAUUCACCAUAAUCUGAGCUACAAUAAAACAAAAACAUAAAUAAAAAAUAAAGAACCACUAGGAGGUAGGAAAGAAAGGUGAGGAGAACACUGAAGAGCAGCAUGCCUGUGGGAGAAUUAAACAAAGAAAUUCCGGUCUUAUAAACUCUCCUAUGCCUCAAUUUUGAAUUGGAGCAGACUAUAUGGUGCUUUCUAAAGAAAGUUUUAUGUAGAAAAUAUAAGCCAUUCAUUUCAAUAGUCUCAUCUCAAAGAAGCUGACUUUAUACAAGAAAUAUUAAAAUGUAAACAAUACAAAAAUCCAAGGAAUUGAGGUGACUGGGGGGCUCAGUCGGUCAAGUGUCUUGGACUCUUGAUCUCUGCUCAGGUCGUGACCUCAUUGUUGGAGAGACUGAGCCCUGAGUCAGUCUCUGUGCUGACAGGGCAGAGCCUGCUUGGGAUUCUCUCUCUCUCUGCCCCUCCCCUGCUCCCAUGCGCUCUUUUUCUCUCUCAAAGGCAAACAAGCAUUUUUUUUUUAAUCGAAAGAAUUAUUUUGAGGAUACUGGGAGCCACACAUAAGCGUGUGCACACGGAGCCAACGCUCCUCACUAGAUAUGGAGGUUGUAGCGAUGCCAAUGAGGACAGAAUAAGACUCAGUAUAGAAGACUCCGUAGAACAUCUUGCCUAAAUCAUCCAAAAUUGAUACUUAGCAUAGAGUGAAGUCUACUUAUUUUUUAUCUUUCUACAAUAUUCUGUACAUUAGAGAUAACCCUACAGUAACUAUAUAAUUAAAUUAAAUGUUCUAUAACAUUAAUUUCAAGUAGCAAUGCAUAGAAGGAAUUAUUUGGGUAAUAUCAAUCGACUAUAUAAAUAAUGCCCUCAAAGUCCUUUUAAUUACUUUUGUUUUACUUUUUGACAAGUAUCUAUAUCUUAUGGAUGAAAAUAGAUACCUAAAGGAACUAUGUUGACAUAAUUCAAAUAUUUAAAGCAAAUAUCUUUAAAAAGAUUUUUUUAAUGUUUAUUUUCGAGAGACAGAGAGAGAGAGAGAGAUGGAGAGAGAACGUGAGCAAGGGAGGGACAGAGAAAGAAGGAGACACAGAAUCCAAAGCAGGCUCCAGGCUCUGAGACGUCAGCACAGAGUCUGACAUUGGGCCCAAAUCCACAGACCGCAAGAUCAUGACCUGAGCCAAAGUCAGAAGUGCAACUGGCUGAGCCACCCAGGCAUCCCUAAAACAAAUAUCUUAUAGUUGAUUUGCUUAACCAUAGGUUUUCACUUAUAAAAGUCAGGAGUGUGUUUUCUUACAACUGUCAAUUUUCUGGGCUUCAAACUAUUUCAAACCCCACUUGUUACAAAAAGCUUCUCCAUUACAUAAAGGCAGAAUAGACCUGCUUGUCCUCUGGCAUUCAGAGCAAAACUCUGGACUUUAACCUUACCUAGGAUCCUAUCUCCUCUUGGGCAUAAAUAAAGAAGACACAUCAAUCUAAAGUUAUUUCAUUCUACCAACAAUGCCAUGGCUGAAUGGACCAUACACAGUAAUAUCACAGGCAAAAUAGGACCAUCAACAAAAAAAAUCAGACAGUCCAUCCAGCACUAAGACUUGCAGCCCCUGGAUGGGGCAUGGAAAGCAUGGAAUAUGUAUGAAAAAAUACUGCAACACCUUGGGGUUUUUUUUAUGACAAAGAGAAGGUUGUAGAUGUUGUCGAUACACGUUAAUCAAAAACGUUCCAAUCCUGUUCAGUGUGACUUAGUAAUAGUAGGCCAUUAGCACUGAGGGUGCAAGAAUGGAAUGGAAGAAGGGAGUCCUAGCCUGCCAGUAACAGAUUUUAUGAUAUUGAGUCACCAGAACCUCAGUUUUCCCAUCUAUGAGAUGGCGAUGAUGCUGUCUCGCUCACAAAGUUGAAGGAUCCAAAGGAAUAAUCCAUGUAAAACACUAAGAUCCCAAAGCAUUGAACAGAUAUUACACAUAGAAAGAUGCUUUGAAAAUAGUACAGCACUGUAGAUAUCAAACCAUUACCGUUAUUAAAUGGGAUAAUUACCCAGUAGAAAAUCCUAGUAACUUAUAUUUGGGGAAGGUAGCUUGAGUUAAAAUGGCUACAGUCUGUAUAUGACUGUAAUAAUAUUUUUACUAUAUUAACAGUUGAUCUUCUAAAUCUUUGGUUUCUCUUUUUCUAGUAGGGAUGUUAUAGAUGUUAAAUACUUUAAUAAAUCAUAAAAUUCAUAAAUAAUUAUUUCCAUAGGUAUCUUCUAGCCAGGACUUUCUCCCAAAGACGUGUAAUAGGUUUUGCUGUUGAUUUUAACCCCCAAAUGAUAAGAUGUUCUCCUUGCUGCUCUUUCACAUACAGCUCAGUUGUAGGAUACGGUGCCUGUCAUGACAGACCGGACACCGGCAGCCCCCGUGUCAUGUGCCUUUUCUAACCAUUUACCCGUGGGCACUCAUGCUCUCUGGGCUGAGUGUUCCCUGUGGCCCUUGUCAGGGGGAACUUGCUCUCCGGUUACCGUAAGCUGGUGUGACCUUCAGAUCAGGGGAGCUUAGCUCACUUUUAGGUUUCAUCAGUUGUUUAUCUGAAAAAUGUAAAUGGGGAAAAGGGGUGGGUUCAGUGGGAAUUUGGGUCAGGUAAGGAUGGAGGACAAGAAACAUUACUGAAGUAAUUGCCCUAAAUUAAUUGCACAUCGUCUGCUGAGUGGCCAUGAGGAAGGACGCGUAGACUAAGCUGGAGGCAGUGGGGUGUUUCCAGGGCAUGGGGAAGGGGGCGAGGGGCUCACCUGCCCUGCUACUGCUGGACAGAAAUACUCCCCUACAAUCCACAGGGCUUCUCUGAAGAUAGUUUGAGGGGUUAUUCGUUGAGAUCUUUGAGGUAUAGAAAAGAAGAGGAAUUAAUUUGGCAAACUUAUUCCCUCCAACUUCCAUUCAUUAAGGGAAACUGACACCUUUUGCAUAUCUGAGGUAUGCACAUUAACACGGAAAGAUACAUUUUUAAAUAAGCUGAACUUGUACUAAAUUCCAUUAAGCUUCUUUUCCCCAUCAUAUCUGUAAAAAGAAGAAAAGAAACACGCUUCACUUACAAAAAUAUCCUUUUAUUUCUGCUCCAAGAGCAUGAUAUCUGCCAAAGCCAUACAUUUCCAGUAUGACAAAGGGAAAACGUGGUUGGUCUCCACCCAAGUUAAUUCGGAGAUAUGAGCUCCAGUUUUAUAACAAAGUGGAGCUGUCUGAUCCCAGUUAUGCUUCCCGUCUGAGAAGGGGAAGAAAUAUUGGGGAGAGCAGGAGUUUUAAAGACUAACAGACCUCGGUUUGAAUCUUUCCUCGGCCACUCACUCUGUGUGUGUGACUUGAUGCUCUGGGCCUCACUUACUUUGCCUUUAAAAUGGGCAUAUUUGUAAUAUUAAAUUUAGGGAUUAGCUAAUGUAAAGCCCUAAACUCUGUGCCUUGUCUGGCCCAUGGGAGGCAUGUAAUAGAUAAUCCUCACUAUCUUAAGAGUGAAGCUGGCAUGAAUUCAGUUGUAAUAAAUAUGUUAUCAUCAUUGGAAUCUCAAAUAUAAUGCAGACAUUUUUAAAAUAUGGAAAUCCCAUGCUGUAAGUGAUGUAGAAAAGCUUGAACACAUGGGCCAUGAUGUCUUUACAACCUGUUCAAAUCUUUAUUUGGUUUAACUGAGGUUUAUUUGAGUUUGGAUGAAGAGUGGACCUAGGUGGGCAAAUUUGACAAUAGGAGACGCACCGUGCUUUGUUUCAGUUUCCCACUCUGGAUUCCUGAAGAGAUCAUCCUAGUCAAAACCUUCUGAGUUUAGCACAAAGCAGGUUCUGUUUCUGACGAAAGCGCGCAGCCUGUUUAACCUGCACAAAAAUAUUUCAAGGGUAACUGGAAAAUACGUAAGAGGAUUCAGAUGUUUCGUGACAUACAUUUAAAAUUCUUCCACUUCUAAAUGAGAGCUCCAUAAGAUGCGGAAGCAAAAGUGCAUCCAAAAAGGAGGGUGCUUUGAGGCAGGCAUUUGGAGAGCUAGUAAGUUAUUAUUUGAAAAAUAAUCCUCAAAGGAGGAUCAGGAGAAGAAAGCAUGUAAGUGAGGGGCCCAGAGGCUGAGAGUCUGCAUUUGCAAAUGAGACUUGCAGUAGGGACUUGACCUGUUCAAAUAAUUUUACCACAUUCUAGACUGGCGUGUGGACUACCAGUUACCAAGCCUCUUACUGAAUGUCUGUGAGAGCAUGCUCCCCUACAAGCAGUGCAAAUGCCAGGGAGCCAUGAACCUGCUUUCGGCGUGCGUGGGUUGCACGCGUAGGGUGAGGAACUUCCUGCAGGUGCUGCUCUAGUGGGGGGGGGGGCAUUCUGCAGAAAGAUCUACAGAGAUAGACUCAAUCAGUCUACUUAGAAAGCAAAGUGUCAGCAAGAUUGCAGCUGAGUCAACAGUAGCAAAAUGCCAAGCUACCAGGCAAGGAAGGGCAAUAAUAAUAAUAAUAAUAACAGUUUCCUAUUCAAAGACAGCCCAGUAUGUACCUGGUAUGUGCCAGUAUGUACCACUUCAGCUUAUAUAUUAUUUGGAUUUUUGCUGCAACUCUGUAAGGAAGUAUCUAUUAUUACUCCCGAUUUAUAGAUGAGGAAACUGAGGCUUGGGUGGUUUAGUGACUUGCCCAAUGUCAUAACUAGGCAGUGGUGAAUGUGUAAUUUGAAUUCAUGUGUGCCUGGCUGCAAAACCUCUGUUUACUUAUGGGCAUAAGAAUAUAAUAACAAAGGGGGCACCUGGCUGGCUCAGUCGAUAGAGCAAGCAACUCUUGAUCUCAGGGUCCCGAGUUCCAGCCCCAUAUUGGGUGUGGAGCCCACUUAAAAAAAAAGAAUAUAAUAACACAAAGAGAACAAAAUAAAAUGUAUGUAUGCUCAUAAGUUUUUGCCUCCGACAUCCAAGAGACUCCUUUGUGUUGUAAGGCUCGGCUGGCCCAAGAGCCCGCCUGACUUUACAGAGAUCUUUAAACGCACCUCAUCAUUUUUUCCUAACUUUUCUGACACCUUCCUGUUUGGAAUAUACUUGAAAGGCAGUACAAUCUAUCAUCCCUUUCCUUCCUCCCAAGUGUUAUUUUAAAAAUAUUUAACAAUUGCAUCUCCUUCUAAAUCUGUUUUCUUUUGUUAACCCCAGAACUAAGGGGGUGUUAAGGGUAGAGGCUAAGCCGUUGUAACAAAGCAUCUGUGAUAGACAAUGGCAGAAAGAAGAUGAGAAGUUUAUUCAGCUCUCCUGACCGUCUAGAGGACAGUGGUUCGUGCCUGAUGGGCAGCUUUGGCACCCUUAAUGCUUCGUUCCAAGGUUGUUUGAGCUGUCACUCUCCCAGACAGCAGCAAGGAUGAAAGGGAAAAUGCAUGGCAAGUGGCUUCAUCUUUGAAGAGAUGACCCAGCAUGGCACACAUUGCUUCAGCUCUCAUCUCAUUGGCUCAAAUGCAGCCCUCAAGGGAUGUACCUAGUUGCAAGGAAGUCUGGGAAACACAGACUUUAGUUGGGCAGUCAAGUGCUUAUCUGAAACCCAGGUCUUCUCCUACUAAAGGGAAUAGCAAGAGAGUGGACGCUGGGGACAAACAGCUGACUCUGUGACAAUCUGUUUUUCGUCUGGUCACCAGUCUGGUUCUGACUGUUACAUGAGGCGAUAGAAGUAUUAAGUACCAAUCUUAAAUGCUCUACUUCUAAACAGUGAGCUCAGUGCCAGGAAUCUUAAAACAAUAAGCAAAUAAAACUAAAGCAAUCUGAGGAUCACGUUUGUGGGCUUCUAGGACACUUAGACCCCUUCACCGGCAAAAUGUCUGUGGUCCGACCUUCAUCAAGCUGGUUGGGUUGCCAGUUAUUAGGGAGAGUUGUUUAUAAAGAGCUGCCAAAUAUUUUAUUUGUUUCUCAGCAUGCAUGAAUAAUAUAUUGAUACAAAUGUCCAUGUCAUGAAUUGGGGGUUUGUUUAGAAAUUAUAGAAUGAAAUUGAUGAAAGAGAUCCUGUCUAAUUCCAUAUUCUAACAGAUGAGGAAAUGGGAAUGCAGAGUAGUUAAAUGAUUUAUUUAAAAUAACAGAGUUGGCUAAUGAAAAAGUAUUUUGUGAAAGAGUUAUAUUUGCAGUAGUGUCUAUUCAGGGCUAAUAGGGUGAAUGAAUGAAUGAAUGAAUGAAUGAAUGAAUGUUUGACUAAAUAUUAAAUAAAUCUGAAAGGUAGAGCGAGAAGUCACUGAGAACCUCAAAGUAAGCAAAGAAAUUGUCAUUUUCAGGUAAAUGAAUGGAUGGCAGAUUAAAAGGUCACAUGGCAGUCAGACUUAAAUUUUGUGAGACUUAAAUUUUAAAUGGGCCACCCUGAACUAGACAUUUACAUUUAAUUUUUCCUGGGAACUGUUUUGGCUUUGCCUAUAAACACAGCAUCAUGACAGCAUGUAGGUUUCCUCUUCUAAAGCUCAGCUCAUUCCAGAAUUCAAUCAGGUUAGGUCAGAUACCUUGAAAACCAUGAACAGAAUCUUCAAAAGAAACCCAGCACAACUUUUUGAAAAUGUAUUUUUCCUAUUAUUAAGACAGGGCACUGUCUUGCUGAGCUGUUUUUUCCUGGACCUCGACAAGUGUUUCAUGAGUCACCUUUGCUCAGCCUGACAGCGGAAUGGUUCAGAAGGUCACAGCCUUCUUCGUGGCUCUAAAAACCUGUACAUUCCUGGAACGAGGGGCAUUGUUUCAUUGGAAGAAAGCUAAUUAGGUUAAAGGAUACAUUAAUGAGCUCUGCAGUAGUCCAUACACAGUAAAUAAAGAGGAGAAAGGAUAACAAGGAAAAGAAAGUCAAAACACAUAAUGAAAGCCUUAGAAAGUUGAGUUUUCACACAUAAAACUAUCUGAAGAAAACCAGAAAGAAAAAUUAAUUUGCUUCUUCAGUCCUUAGAACCUUGGUUUUGUGACACUCCAGGAUGUCCCCAAUUAUCUCAACGAAUGUCAUGAAAUGUUCCAAAGGAUUCUCAAAAUGAAAUUAGUUUUAUUUCAUUUAAAAAUAGAUGGCCAGUAGCUCUUUCAAGAGUAACGGAAUCAAAUGAGCAUUUGGCUGCCACCAGCUCUAAAGGUUUCCAAGCACCAGGUUAGGGCUGAUGAAAGAGGCACAGCCAUUUUGGAAUGGAAAUUUUUAAUACUUCUCUAGACAUUUUAAUCCCCCAAAUCCCUUGAGAUUUCUUCAAAAACAAACAAACAAACAACAGAGUAACAAUAAUAAUGAUGACACUGUUCAGAUGUUUACUUCACAAAUUGACCUCAUGGGGGAGGGCAGGAGAUUCUUAGAACAUAAGAGCAUCAGAAGGGAACUUUGAGGUCAAUUUUAUUUGACUCCCUCCCUUAAGGAACAGGAAACCUGAACCAAGAGGAUGUGGUGGCUUAUCCCAACCCACCCAGUGAGUUAAGGACCAUGGUUUCCCAUUCAGCCAUACUGCUGUCCUCUGCCUUGUGGGAUGUGCAAUACUCAGAAUUAGAAGUGAAUUUUACCAGCCUUAAUAAGCAUCCUUGGUUUGACUUUCACUGAGAUAAGUGUCAAAUAUCAUCCCAAUUUUCAAAUGGAGAAACUGAGUUCUAGAUGGGUAAAGUCUUCUACCUAACAAAUAGAACAUUUAAGAAAUGGAUUUUGUUUUCAAGUCAGCCUUGAAGUCAUGGUGAGUAGAGGGCUGUAAUGAGACAUGAGCAUAAAGAAAAGUCAUAAACACAACCAACCAUUAAGACAUGACUGAGCAAUUAGAUAUAUAUGGGACUCCAUUCAACCUUUACUUGAAAUCUGACUACACUGAGAAAAGUCCAUAGUGCUCUAUAAUACAUGGAAACCCAAGUUCAUGAUGGAAGCUGAGUAGAUCAAAGGUGCUAAUUAACACUACUAGUAAAUUGUUUGCUUAGAAAAAUUUGUAUAGUUCUACUUCAUGCUAUUUUAUAAACCUUUGCCAAAGCAACCUGUUUUAGAAUUAUUUAAGUGCCGUAAAUAUCUUCUUCUUUACCCUCUUUGUACAAGCAUAGAACCCCAGGAUUUAAAAGGUCAUUUAGUUCAAUCUCUGACUCAAAACAAAAGUCCUUUCUUCAGCAUUCCAGCAAGCCAGGCUCUGUUUGGCCAUCCUCCGUAACAAGGUAAUGCCUGAUCACGGAACCACCUCUAAUGGAAAAGAAUGCACAGAAAUCGGGCUGGGAAAAAGUAGGCAUUCAUGUGCACCUUAAAGAUGUGUUUUUGCCAAAUCAGGAUCCACAGACUAUUAAUGAAAAUAACACUCUCACUUCAAGUCUACACACUGAGCAGCACUUGUAAGAAUCCUCUUCCCGGAUGCUGUUUUCGUGCCAGACGAGAGGCCGCGCUAGCACUGGGGUUUUAUCUGUGUUCAGCGCAAAUACAGCAAGGUGUGCAAAACAAACAACAGGAUAACAGAGGAGAGUGCAAGCAAACAGCAUGGGCUGCACAUUUCUGAGAGAAAUGCCCCAGGUAUGGAAGUGCCUGAGAGGUUAAAAAAUCACAUGUCAGCCACAUGUGUCCCAUCCUGUGAAAGGGUAAUUAUGACAGGUGUUGGAGUAAAUUUGCUUUUCAAGAAAGAAGCUACACCUUGCUCUUUUUUUUUUUUUUUUUGAGGUAUCUUUUUAAACAAUCCCUACACAUAACGUGAGGCUCGAACUCACAACCUUGAGAUCAAGAGUCGCAUUCUCUAGAGACUGAGCCAACCAGGCACCCCAAAGCUAUACCUUACUUAAUGCAUAUGCUGAAUUAAUCAAGAUGUGGCUGAGCCAUCCAAACCGUUAAAAGUAAUUACUUGAUUAAACUUAACAUCUUUUUUUUUUAAAUUUUUUUUUUCAACGUUUAUUUAUUUUUGGGACAGAGAGAGACAGAGCAUGAACGGGGGAGGGGCAGAGAGAGAGGGAGACACAGAAUCGGAAACAGGCUCCAGGCUCCGAGCCAUCAGCCCAGAGCCUGACGCGGGGCUCGAACUCACGGACCGCGAGAUCGUGACCUGGCUGAAGUCGGACGCUUAACCGACUGAGCCACCCAGGCGCCCCAAACUUAACAUCUUUCUAUGCCUCACUCGCAAAUGUGACCCAGAAAUCUGGGUUUCGUGGAGAAGCCUCCUGAAGAUCCGGCAGUCUGAUCAUCUUUCAGGUGUGGCUAAAGGAGAUGUUAAGAACUGGUAACCAAAGAAACUAUGCAUGUUUAUGCCUUGAACCUCUCAAACAUUAGGAACAUGUUUAUCAAUAUUUUUCUUCGUUUAUUUACACCUCAACACUCUAGGAUAUGUUUGGAUAUUUAGCAAUCCCUUAGGGAGUAGUGUAGCAAUGUGUUUGAAUUCACAAUUCACAGUUCAUAACAUGUCCUGGUUUUAAAAACUCUUAUUGUGUGCCGGGUGCAAGCAUAUAAAUAUAAGUAAAAAUGAUCUCUGCUCUCAAAUACUCUGGAGAAAGUAGAAAUGAAGAGAUGAAAACAAAAUUACAUUUCGUCCUCUUUUCAUUAAAAAAUAAUCAAAUACUCACAAGUAGAUUAUGUGUAUUUUCCAUAACACUUCACAUUUUUUCAGACACACCAAUACUAAAUAGUUUUAUGUAUUAUAGUAACUGCUUUCAUUUGUAUUUAUAGAAGAAAAUAGACGGGCUUAAAUGUGGCUUUACUGUUGACUCGCUGUGACUCUCAACCAGCUCUUUAACAUCUUUGAAUCUGCAAAAUGGAGUUUCUAACAUUCACCUGGGAGGUUUGCCAAGCUCUGAAGUGCAUGGAGAACCUAGCGCUGUGUCAGACAUCAAGCAGCUGUUCAAUAAAUGGCAGCUAUUACUUACAGCUAUUUUGUGUUGAUAGUUCGGAGACUCAUCCAGUUUCAAGCACAAGGCAUUUCGGCAUCAUUUCAGAUAACUUUUGGCCAUUCAAAAAUCUGUCUACUGAGAAUUUUUCUAAUUUUUUUGGUACCACUUUAUAAUGAUCAUCAUGUAAACAUAUAAAGGGACUUAGAAAACAUAUGUAUGUUAUAAAACCGGUAAAACAUGUGACCCAAACAUCCAAGAUAGAGAAUUAAAACAUCACCAAUGGUAUUAAGUCUUUUUUGAGAGCUCUUAAUGUUAAGAUAAGUAGCAACACUUACUGGGGUGCCUGGGUGGCUCAGUGGCCUGCCUUGUGGUUUCGGCUCAGGUUAUGAUCUCACGGUGCCAAGACCACUUGGGAUUCUCUCUUCCUUCUCUCCUCUUUCUCUGUCCCUCCCCCGUUCUCGCUCUCUCUCUCUCAAUAAUAAAUAAACAUUAAAGAGAUAAAUAAAUAAAUAUACCCUGGAUCCCAUUUAUUGGAAGGUUAGGCUGAAUCCAUUGUUUCUGUUGGAACCAUGCUCUUGUAUAAAAUAGAGUAAGAUUGCAUUUAUUAGCACUUUGUAAAUUUAGGUACGCCAGGGAAUAUUGUCUUAUUUAACAUUACUUAGUUACCUGAAAGAUAUAAUGUUAGAAACUAAUACUUUUACAGAAGACUGACAUUAAUGACUGGUUAUACUUCCCUUAAGAGCUUAACAAUCUUGAUGAAUAAAAAAUUCUCUUCUGAAGAAGAAAUAAGAAAACACUUUAGAAGGUAAACAGUUGACAGAGGACUCUUUCCCUGUCUAGUAACCCAAAGCGACCAUCAUAAUCACCAAUUAAUAUCUAUACAAGUAUCUAUCACAGAAGAGAGUUCCAGGUAAUGGCAAAGACUUGCUAUGUUCAAGGAGAACAAAAAUUUCCUCCGAACAGUCCCAAAAAAACUUCUUACAUAAGGUUGACAAAUGCUGGAGUAAAAACAUGAAGUAAGAAAAUGCUGAAGUAAAAACAUAUGAGUAUUGGAAAGGAAGCUUACAUCUUAUUUAGCUUCAAUGUUAAAAAUGCAGAGAAACAUCAGGUUUGAGUAUAAUAUAAUGCAUGUAUUUUUGGUUGCCUGUUGUGGCCACUAAUUAAAAUUUUUGUAUUUAGCUGCCCUCUUCCUGAAUUCUUUUAAAACCUUCCCGAAAAAGCAUUUUUUGUUUUGUUUGUUUGUUUUUCCAUUCCAACACACACAUAGCCAUAGUGUACCCUUUCUUAAACCAUAAGCUUAGGGACAAUAAAAGUGAUGUGUUCUCUGUAGUCGUGUAAAUGACAAAUAGUGCCAUGCCGGAGCAACAGUAAUAAUCAGAUGUUCAAAUCGUGCGAUCGGGAGUAUUAUAAUCAAAAGUGAAUCCCUGUGAAUUUGGUGCUCUCUAAAGGAGUAAUGAAUUACGCACAGGUGAGAGCACUAUUUGUGUUUUUUAUCUUAAGCAUUACUCAUUUUAUUAUUUUGAUAAGAGAUGUACUGAUAGAUAGAGAUGUUAAAGAAAGCUCUUGGGGCACCUGGGUGGCUCCUUUGGUUAAACAUCUGACUCUUGAUUUUGGCUCAGGUCAUGAUUUCAUGGUUUGUGAGUUUGAGCCCUGGGUCAGUAGUGCAGAGCCUGCUUGGGAUUCUCUCUCUCUCCCUCUCUGUCUGCCCCUCCCCCACUGGCUCUUGCAUUCUCUCUCAAAAUAAACAAAAUUUGAAGGAAAAAAUAAAAAAUGAAAAGCUCUUAGCAGAUAGGAAAAUCUUUUUGCUUUUAUUUUUUGUUAGAAAUCUUUCAUGUAGUUCCUCUCCUGGCCAUCCCCAAACACCCCCAUCCCAUUCCAUAAACACACACACGCACAGGCACACACUGGUGCCUCUUCAGUCUGGCCUGUGCUGCCUGGGGGGCUUUUGGGUCAGCUGUGAUAUCCUGAAGGGUGUGUGAAAUUGAAGACAAACAUUUUUACUAGGAGUUUAUAGCCUUAACAAAGUAAACUGUAAGCCCUGCAGGUGUCCUUAAUGGUAGGAACAAAGGCCUGUGGUGUAGCAAAAAGAGACCUGGAUUUUGAAUUAGAAGGAGCUGUCCUUGCAUUCCAAGUUCAAGAGAUGGGUGAACUUCGGCAAUCGUUUUCUCUCUCAGAGUCUAGGUUCACCAUGAGUCAGAUUAGGGGACAACGGAGGCUUAACCCGAUUACCUCUAAAGUAUUAAAUGCUUAGAAAUCAAAGAAUGAAACUAUAUCUCCAAUGAAGUCAUAAUUGCUUUGGGUGAUUUUUUUUCCUUUUGUUUUUAAUAAUUAAGUUGCCUUUAAAAACAAACCAAAAAGAGAGCAAGAGCCAGUACAAAAGAGAGAGAGGGAGAAAGAGAGAAAGAGAAAUUAUCUAAAUAUAAAUAUUUCUCUUUUCAAGACGCCAAAAGAUGAUGGUGGCAUUUUGGUGCCUCUUCAGAGCAAAGGAAUUCUUAGUUCCUUAUUACUCUAAAAUAAUUCAUUUUUAAAAUAUUUAAUAAAAAGUUUUCCUAAACCACUGAGAUUUUAUACAUUAUUGUAUAAAAUAUUGUAUAAAUAAUGUAUAAUAAUUAUACAUUAUUAAUUAUGAAAUUUUAUAUCAUGCAUUUUAGUUUACAUGCAAGAUCACACUUCCUUACCCAGCACUGAUCUCACUCUAUUAGAAAAGUCUAAUAGACUGACUGACUGACCGUCUGACUGACCGGUGGGGAAAGGAGGCUCCGAGAGGUUAGGACUUGGCCAAGGCUUUAGAGACUCACAGAGCCAUGCCUGAACACAGACAUCUCCUAAUGUUGGGUCUUAUGUAAAUGUCAGUGUAAUUAAACUGAAAUUAUUUAAUUCAAGACUGCCAUAUCAUCAAGUGACAUUUCACCUUGGAAGGAGUCAAGAAGUUUAUUUCAUUUGUAGUUUGAAGUUUAGAUUCCUUGAGUCUAUAAAAUGGUUCUAUAACUGGUCAUCAUUUGAGCUGAAAGAUCGGUACAUCAAUUCGAAGGUUGGGAGUGUCCUUUGAUGAGUAGUAUAGAACCCAAGAAAUCAUUCAUAGAAAAAAAGAAAGGAAAAGGAAAGGAAAUAAAGCACAUUUCUUCAGAAUUUUGGAGCCCUUGUCUCCUAAUUGAAGAAUGAGAAUCCCGGAAUUAAUACGAAUAUUUAACUUGCAAGGUUGUUUGUAAGCGUUAAAAGUAAUUAUAUAAAGCUCCUGCUAUGUAGUGCUUUACAAUAUAAGCACUUCAAUAAACAGUGACAAUGGCUAAUAGGGUUCAUUUCCUUUCAAGUUAUUGCUAGGUCUAUACUGUGAUACAUUGUACUAUUUAAUAUAAGAAACCUAAUGUAAGUAUAGGGAGAGUUCUGUCAGUGGCAGAGCAGAGAUCCGUUGUAACUCUGAGCUCCUAUUAUUGUAAUUGAUAUUUUCCAAUGUGUUCUACCUAUUAGAGAUUCUAAUUAUGGGAGUGAAAUAGACACUAUUGUCUUCAUACAUGUGAUCUGUUAUCUGAAUAUAUACAUGUGCUGCAAACAAGUUUCAAAACAGAACCUUCCCACGGGCAUAAAGGAAAAUGCUGGUCUUUCCGAUGCUAAACAAUGCCAGAAGGAGCCCCGCACUGGUAACAAUAGUAACAAUAGCAGUAAUAGCAGCAAUCCUUUUUAAAGCAUCUACUGUAUUCCAGGCACUGUAAGCCACACUGUGGAAAGUUGCCUAUAACCUUAGGACACUGGAGAUCAUGGCCCUGUGAAGGUGCCAAGGCUGGGUGACACAGCACUGUGUUGUGUAGCUGAAGUAUCCAUGAAAGACUGCAAAACUUUUCUACGUGGCAGGUGUAUCAU